UGGGGAAUAUUGCACAAUGGACGGAAGUUUGAUGCAGCGACGCCGCGUGGAGGGUGUAGGCCUUCGGGUUGUGAACUCCUUUUUCUCGCGAAAAAGGCACAGUUUUGGCUGUGUUGAUGGUAGUGGGGGAAGAAGCGCCGGCUAACUACGUGCCAGCAGCCGCGGUAAUACGUAGGGCGCGAGCGUUGUCCGGAUUUAUUGGGCGUAAAGAGCUCGUAGGUGGUUCGUCGCGUCUGUCGUGAAAGCCAGCAGCUUAACUGUUGGUCUGCGGUGGGUACGGGCGGGCUUGAGUGCGGUAGGGGUGACUGGAAUUCCUAGUGUAGCGGUGGAAUGCGCAGAUAUCAGGAGGAACACCGAUGGCGAAGGCAGGUCACUGGGCCGUUACUGACACUGAGGAGCGAAAGCGUGGGGAGCGAACAGG
Molecule: ribosomal RNA, 421 nt
Filed under: Fusobacteriota bacterium
Lineage: Bacteria; Fusobacteriati; Fusobacteriota
Description: Fusobacteria bacterium partial 16S ribosomal RNA
Rfam family: Bacterial small subunit ribosomal RNA
Source: RNAcentral